Molecule: ribosomal RNA, 496 nt
Filed under: uncultured bacterium
Lineage: Bacteria
Description: partial 16S ribosomal RNA
Rfam family: Bacterial small subunit ribosomal RNA
Source: RNAcentral
AUGCACGCUGGCGGCGUGCCUCAUACAUGCCAGUCGAGCGAACGGACGAGAAGCUUGCUUCUCUGAUGUUAGCGGCGGACGGGUGAGUAACACGUGGAUAACCUACCUAUAAGACUGGGAUAACUUCGGGAAACCGGAGCUAAUACCGGAUGAUAUUUUGAACCGCAUGGUUCAAAAGUGAAAGACGGUCUUGCUGUCACUUAUAGAUGGAUCCGCGCUGCAUUAGCUAGUUGGUAAGGUAACGGCUUACCAAGGCAACGAUGCAUAGCCGACCUGAGAGGGUGAUCGGCCACACUGGAACUGAGACACGGUCCAGGCUCCUACGGGAGGCAGCAGUAGGGAAUCUUCCGCAAUGGGCGAAAGCCUGACGGAGCAACGCCGCGUGAGUGAUGAAGGUCUUCGGAUCGUAAAACUCUGUUAUUAGGGAAGAACAUAUGUGUAAGUAACUGUGCACAUCUUGACGGUACCUAAUCAGAAAGCCACGGCUAACUACGUG